AAGGACUUAGGUUAAUUUUUAAACCCAUAACCUUCAAAGUUAUUAAUAAAAAAUAAAUUUUAGGCCUUA
This 69-nucleotide transfer RNA is filed under the name Erianthus versicolor. RNAcentral's name for it is "tRNA-Trp". Lineage: Eukaryota; Metazoa; Arthropoda; Insecta; Orthoptera; Chorotypidae. The record is from RNAcentral.